GAUGAACGCUAGCUACAGGCUUAACACAUGCAAGUCGAGGGGUAACGAGAGGAAAGCUUGCUUUCCUUGUCGACGACCGGCGCACGGGUGAGUAACGCGUAUCCAACCUGCCCCCAACUAGGGAAUAACCUUGCGAAAGUAAGACUAAUACCCUAUAAUUUCCUCAGAUGUCAUCUGACGAGGAAUAAAGAUUUAUCGGUUGUGGAUGGGGAUGCGUCUGAUUAGCUUGUUGGCGGGGUAACGGCCCACCAAGGCAACGAUCAGUAGGGGUUCUGAGGGGAAGGUCCCCCACAUUGGAACUGAGCCACGGUCCAAACUCCUACGGGAGGCAGCAGUGAGGAAUAUUGGUCAAUGGGCGGAAGCCUGAACCAGCCAAGUAGCGUGCAGGAUGACGGCCCUAUGGGUUGUAAACUGCUUUUAUACAGGAAUAAAGUUAGCCACGUGUGGUUAUUUGUAGGUACUGUAUGAAUAAGGACCGGCUAAUUCCGUGCCAGCAGCCGCAGUAA
Molecule: ribosomal RNA, 506 nt
Filed under: uncultured bacterium
Lineage: Bacteria
Description: partial 16S ribosomal RNA
Rfam family: Bacterial small subunit ribosomal RNA
Source: RNAcentral